AUGAUCGAUAGAUUCAUCAUCAAGAAGAUCUUAAGAGCCUUGGAUGGAAAAUAUGAUACCGUGUGCACAUUGAUCCAAAUGAUGCCAAAUUACAAAGAUCUCAAGCCAACGGAAGUCAUCGGAAGAAUUGUUGCUCAUGAGAUGUCACUCAAGGAUAAAGAGGAACUUCACAACAAAUCAAGUGGUGCUUACAAAGCCUCAUGUGAAGCCCCCACAUCAUCGAGUGAGAAACAAAUCUUUAAUGAAGAAUUGAGCUUAAUGGUGAAGAACUUCAACAAGUUCUACAAGAGUAGAAGCAAAGAGAGAAGCUCCAAGUUAAGGUCCUACAAUGACAAAAGAUCUUCUAGUCGAGAGCGAAACUGGUACAACUGUGGAAGGCCCGGACACUAUUCCAAUGAGUGUACGGCCCCCUACAAGAGAAGAGAAGAUUCUCCCAAGAGAAGAAGUAGAAGAGAAGAAUCACCAUCUAGAGAAAGAAGGAGUAGAGAUGAUCGUUAUGAACGAAGACCCUCAUGGAGAAGCAAGGAUUCGGAAAGAAAGGACAAGUCAUCAAGGAGCUACACAAAACGAAGACAUCAAGCUCAUGUUGGUGAAUGGGUAUCCGGCUCCGACUCCGACAACCACUCCGAGAGAAGCUAUCACUCUGAUUCCGAAUAUACUCAAGAUGAAGGUGUUGCCGGUCUAGCACUUGUG
This 693-nucleotide ribosomal RNA is filed under the name Triticum aestivum (bread wheat). Its description in RNAcentral is "partial small subunit ribosomal RNA". Lineage: Eukaryota; Viridiplantae; Streptophyta; Magnoliopsida; Poales; Poaceae. The record is from RNAcentral.